Molecule: ribosomal RNA, 443 nt
Filed under: uncultured Sedimentibacter sp.
Lineage: Bacteria; Bacillati; Bacillota; Tissierellia
Description: partial 16S ribosomal RNA
Rfam family: Bacterial small subunit ribosomal RNA
Source: RNAcentral
CCUACGGGGGGCAGCAGUGGGGAAUAUUGCACAAUGGGCGAAAGCCUGAUGCAGCGACGCCGCGUGAGUGAAGAAGGCCUUCGGGUCGUAAAACUCUGUCCUUGGUGAAGAAAAAAAUGACGGUAGCCAAGGAGGAAGCCCCGGCUAACUACGUGCCAGCAGCCGCGGUAAUACGUAGGGGGCGAGCGUUGUCCGGAUUUACUGGGCGUAAAGGGUGAGUAGGCGGUUGUAUAUGUCAGAUGUAAAAGCCCCGGGCUCAACCCGGGAACUGCAUUUGGAACUGGCAGACUAGAGUCUUGGAGAGGGGGGUAGAAUUUCCGGUGUAGCGGUGAAAUGCGUAGAGAUCGGAAGGAAUACCAGUGGCGAAGGCGGCCCCCUGGACAAAGACUGACGCUCAGGCACGAAAGCGUGGGGAUCAAACAGGAUUAGAUACCCUGGUAGUC